RNAcentral lists this ribosomal RNA (497 nucleotides) under uncultured bacterium. RNAcentral describes it as "partial 16S ribosomal RNA". It matches the Rfam family "Bacterial small subunit ribosomal RNA", at positions 28 to 507 of the family's 1533-position model. The record is from RNAcentral.
GACGAACGCUGGCGGCGUGCCUAAUACAUGCAAGUAGAACGCUGAAGAGAGGAGCUUGCUCUUCUUGGAUGAGUUGCGAACGGGUGAGUAACGCGUAGGUAACCUGCCUUGUAGCGGGGGAUAACUAUUGGAAACGAUAGCUAAUACCGCAUAACAAUAGGUGACACAUGUCAUUUAUUUGAAAGGGGCAAUUGCUCCACUACAAGAUGGACCUGCGUUGUAUUAGCUAGUAGGUGAGGUAACGGCUCACCUAGGCGACGAUACAUAGCCGACCUGAGAGGGUGAUCGGCCACACUGGGACUGAGACACGGCCCAGACUCCUACGGGAAGCAGCAGUAGGGAAUCUUCGGCAAUGGGGGCAACCCUGACCGAGCAACGCCGCGUGAGUGAAGAAGGUUUUCGGAUCGUAAAGCUCUGUUGUAAGUCAAGAACGAGUGUGAGAGUGGAAAGUUCACACUGUGACGGUAGCUUACCAGAAAGGGACGGCUAACUACGUG